UGAGUAACGCGUGGGUAAUCUACCUUUAAGCCUGGGAUAACUGACCGAAAGGUUAGCUAAUACCGGAUAAGCACACAGCACCGCUUAGGGUGCAGGGUGAAAAGAAUGCCUCUAUUUAUAAGCAUUCACUUUUAGAGGAGCCCGCGUCUCAUUAGCUAGUUGGUAGGGUAACGGCCUACCAAGGCAACGAUGGGUAACUGGUCUGAGAGGAUGAUCAGUCACACUGGAACUGAAACACGGUCCAGACUCC
RNAcentral lists this ribosomal RNA (250 nucleotides) under uncultured bacterium. RNAcentral describes it as "partial 16S ribosomal RNA". It matches the Rfam family "Bacterial small subunit ribosomal RNA", at positions 107 to 339 of the family's 1533-position model. The record is from RNAcentral.